This 551-nucleotide unclassified non-coding RNA is filed under the name Hevea brasiliensis (rubber tree). Lineage: Eukaryota; Viridiplantae; Streptophyta; Magnoliopsida; Malpighiales; Euphorbiaceae. The record is from RNAcentral.
AUAAUUGAAUUCUCACCCUUUCUAUCAGUCCUCCCCUACCUGGUCCUAGAGUUUCCAAGUGUAAGCUCAAGAUCCUCAGAUACACAUUCCUCAUGGAUCCUUUCUCCUUCCCAGGGUUUCACUAACCAUGUUGUGUGACUUCCAAAUGCAAACUCACCUGCCAUACUUUCUGGCAUUGGAACAUCUGCUGUCUGGUCAACACCUGCAGGAACAGCAGGAGAGCAUGUCCCGCUUUGCCCAGGAGUCCACAUUAGUGAUCCGUUACCUGACAUAGGCUCAUCUCUAAAGCCAAAUGGGUUCCGCGACACAAGGCUAAAUGUGGGUGAUGAUGGUUCACUUUGGGGAAUUUCAAUGCCAGCUAGCCAUCCUGAAUCAGGCAUGAUCUGACGGCCAGGACUUGGUGUGGUAGAUGAUGGCAUAGAUAAGGGCAGGAACGGAUAAUUCUUACCUGCCCAGGAUGGACCAACAGCCGGGUCAUCCCAGUCAUUUUUGGUGCGCGGAGUUCGGGCAGUUGGCGAGCUUAAUGGAGGGGUGACUGGAGCACUUAUGGA